AUCAGCACUGAACACAGGCCACUUGCCAUGAACUCAGGACUCAAAUUAGUUUUCUUUGUCCUUAUUCUAAAAGGUGUCCAGUGUGAGGUGCAGUUGGUGGAGUCUGGGGGAGGCUUAGUACAGCCUGGAAAGUCCCUGAAACUCUCCUGUGAGGCCUCUGGAUUCACCUUCAGUAGCUUUGGCGUGAACUGGGUCCGCCAGGCUACAGGGAAGGAGCUGGAGUGGGUCGCAUCCAUUAGUAAUGAUGGUAGUAAUAACUAUUAUGCCAACGCUGUGAAGGGCCGAUUCACCAUCUCCAGAGACAAUGCCAAGAACACACUGUUCCUACAAAUGAACAAUCUGAAGUCUGAGGACACUGCCACAUAUUACUGUGCAAGAGGCACAGAUGCUCAGGACCAGCAGGGGGCGCAGAGAGCACAGGUUCCUCUGGGUCAAGAAGAACCUGUAGAGAAGGGUAUAAAGGACUGGACUCCUCUGUGUCUGGGCUGCUGCUCCAUGUCACAGUCGGGGAUUCUUUCUACAGGCGUGGUGUCCCAGAAUCCUUGA
This is a non-coding RNA of Cricetulus griseus (Chinese hamster), 546 nucleotides long. Lineage: Eukaryota; Metazoa; Chordata; Mammalia; Rodentia; Cricetidae. The record is from the annotation of a RefSeq genome assembly.